UGGGGAAUUGUUCGCAAUGGGCGCAAGCCUGACGACGCAACGCCGCGUGGAGGACGAAGAUCUUCGGGUCGUAAACUCCUGUCGAGCGGAACGAACGCUUCGCGGAUGAAUAAUCCGCGGAGGUGACGGUACCGCUAAAGGAAGCCCCGGCUAACUCCGUGCCAGCAGCCGCGGUAAUACGGGGGGGGCAAGCGUUGUUCGGAAUUACUGGGCGUAAAGGGCUCGUAGGUGGCCAACUAAGUCAGACGUGAAAUCCCCAGGCUCAACUUGGGAACUGCGUCUGAUACUGGAUGGCUUGAAUUCGGGAGAGGGAUGCAGAAUUCCAGGUGUAGCGGUGAAAUGCGUAGAUAUCUGGAGGAUACCGGUGGCGAAGGCGGCAUCCUGGACCGAGAUUGACACUGAUGAGCGAAAGCCAGGGGAGCGAAACGGGAUUAGAUACCCCCGGUAGUCCGUGGCCCUAAACGAUGAAUGCUUGGUGUGACGGUAUCGAUCCCUGUCGUGCCGAAG
RNAcentral lists this ribosomal RNA (507 nucleotides) under uncultured Acidobacteriota bacterium. Its description in RNAcentral is "bacterial SSU rRNA". It matches the Rfam family "Bacterial small subunit ribosomal RNA", at positions 355 to 851 of the family's 1533-position model. The record is from RNAcentral. Lineage: Bacteria; Pseudomonadati; Acidobacteriota.